AUGAUGGAUUACUAUGAAGUUCUAGGUGUGCAGAGACAUACCUCACCCAAGGAUAUUAAAAAAGCAUAAUGGAAACUGGCACUGAAGUGGCACCCAGAUUCCUGAGAAUAAAGAAGAAGCAGAGAGAAAAUCAAAACAAGUGGCUGAGGCAUGUGAGGUGCUGUAAGAUGCUAAAAGAUGGUACAUCUAUGACAGGAUUAAAUGGUGGCAAAGAAGGAUUAAAUGGUGGAGGAGGAGGUGGAAGUCAUUUUGACAGUCCAUUUGAGUUUGGCUUCACAUUUUGUAACCCAGAUGAUGUCUUCAGGGAAUUUUUUUGGUGGAAGGGACCCAUUUUUAUUUGACUUCUUUGAAGACCCUUUUGAGGACUUUUUUUUGGAAUGGGGUCCCUGAGGAGGCCAAGGGACAGAGUCAUUUUUUCCACAUUCAGUGGAUUUCCAUCUUUUGGAAGUGGAUUUUCUUCUUUUGAUACAAGAUUUGUUUCAUUCAGGUCACUAGGUCAUGGGGGCUUCACUUCAUUCUCUUUCGUGUCGUUUGGUGGUAGUGGGAUGGGCACUUCCAAAUUGAUAUCAGGUUCUACUAAAAUGGCUAAUGGCAGAAAAAUCACUACAAAGAGAAUUGUUGAGAAUGGUCAGGAAGGAAUAGAAUUUGAGGAAGAUGGCCAGUUAAAGUCCUUAACCAUACAGGGUUAGGAGCAGCUGCUGCACUUGGGUAAC
Molecule: long non-coding RNA, 713 nt
Filed under: Homo sapiens (human)
Lineage: Eukaryota; Metazoa; Chordata; Mammalia; Primates; Hominidae
Description: non-protein coding lnc-SNX4-2:2
Source: RNAcentral